GAUGAACGCUAGCUACAGGCUUAACACAUGCAAGUCGAGGGGCAGCAUGAAAGGAACUUCGGUUCUUUUUGAUGGCGACCGGCGCACGGGUGCGUAACGCGUAUCGAACCUGCCUCAUACUCGGGGAUAGCCUUGCGAAAGUAAGAUUAAUACCCGGCGGUCUCGGAUGGCCGCAUGAUUGUCCGAGUGAAGAUUUAUCGGUAUGAGAUGGCGAUGCGUCCCAUUAGCUAGUUGGUGAGGUAACAGCUCACCAAGGCAUCGAUGGGUAGGGGUUCUGAGAGGAAGGUCCCCCACAUUGGAACUGAGACACGGUCCAAACUCCUACGGGAGGCAGCAGUGAGGAAUAUUGGUCAAUGGACGAAAGUCUGAACCAGCCAAGUAGCGUGCAGGACGACGGCCCUCUGGGUUGUAAACUGCUUUUAGUUGGGAAUAAAAAGAGGGACGUGUCCCUUAUUGUAUGUACCAUCAGAAAAAGGACCGGCUAAUUCCGUGCCAGCAGCCGCGGUAA
This 508-nucleotide ribosomal RNA is filed under the name uncultured bacterium. RNAcentral's name for it is "partial 16S ribosomal RNA". It matches the Rfam family "Bacterial small subunit ribosomal RNA", at positions 28 to 523 of the family's 1533-position model. The record is from RNAcentral.